Molecule: ribosomal RNA, 460 nt
Filed under: uncultured bacterium
Lineage: Bacteria
Description: partial 16S ribosomal RNA
Rfam family: Bacterial small subunit ribosomal RNA
Source: RNAcentral
CCUACGGGAGGCAGCAGUGAGGAAUAUUGGUCAAUGGACGAGAGUCUGAACCAGCCAAGUAGCGUGAGGGAUGACUGCCCUAUGGGUUGUAAACUUCUUUUAUCUGGGAAUAAAACAGGGUACGCAUACCCUCUUGUAUGUACCAUAUGAAUAAGGAUCGGCUAACUCCGUGCCAGCAGCCGCGGUAAUACGGAGGAUCCGAGCGUUAUCCGGAUUUAUUGGGUUUAAAGGGAGCGUAGGUGGAUUGGUAAGUCAGUUGUGAAAGUUUGCGGCUCAACCGUAAAAUUGCAGUUGAAACUGGCAGUCUUGAGUACAGUAGAGGUGGGCGGAAUUCGUGGUGUAGCGGUGAAAUGCGUAGAUAUCACGAAGAACUCCGAUUGCGAAGGCAGCUUACUGGACUGCAACUGACACUGAUGCUCGAAAGUGUGGGUAUCAAACAGGAUUAGAUACCCUAGUAGUC